Molecule: unclassified non-coding RNA, 1550 nt
Filed under: Hevea brasiliensis (rubber tree)
Lineage: Eukaryota; Viridiplantae; Streptophyta; Magnoliopsida; Malpighiales; Euphorbiaceae
Source: RNAcentral
GGCAGAGACAAAGUCGGUAUUAGGAGCUUAGUAGUUCUACAUUUUCCUUGGCUUCUUUAUCACUGAACUGUCAGUCAGUGUAUUUAAAGGUACACAAGUUAAUACUUGAUUCUAAUACAAAAUAUAGGGUCUACAAAGAGCUACUGAAUUCGUGCCGAUGAACGCUCCGCCCCUGUUAACAUGCCCUUUGAAAAAACAAGAUCACAUAGUCCCUAAAAAAAGGAGUAAUUUUACUCUGAAAGAUCAGUAUCAUCCUCACGAUCAUUGAGAAUCCAAGAUCCAUCUUCUUGUUGAACCAUUCCUUUAUUUUGCACGGUCCGCCAAUACACUGGUACACCAUAUUCAUUCUUCAAUGCGUCCGUUUCCUUAUUCACCAACGCAAUAUCCCGAGUUAUUUCCAACUUGAACUCUCCUUCUGGUCCAUGUGUUCCAGCAAUUCCGUGCAGAUAAACUUCCAAAGAAUGAUUAUUUACAUCUUUCUUCAAAUACUCUGAUUUUGUAGUAUCAAUUUUAACUUCAUACCCAACAUGUUCAUACACUCUCCAAUCUGUAUCAGAGCCCUCUACCUGUCCGCGGUCUGGUUUUUCAGGAACUUCAUCAAGAGCAUUGGUAAUCCGCAAGAUUUGAAGAUUUUUCAAAUGUUGAUGAGCUUUCUUGAAAUUGGCCUCUCCAGUUCGUGGGCUAGCAAAUAAAAAUGCAGUCACUGGAAACUCCUUAUUGAUUUUGUUGACAACUAUGUCAAUUGCGCAUAGUGUGGACAAUGAUGAACCAAUACUGUGGCCGCUUAGAGUAAUGCUAACUUUGUCUCUCUUGUAUUGCUCCACCAAUCGCUUAACUUCUUCAAUAACCUGGUCUCUGGCACUAGCUGUUCGAUUGAAUUUAGAAGCGUCGUUAAGAGAAGUAUAAACUGAAUAAAAACCUCUGUGUACAAGAGUGUCAUGCGUAUUUUCUCCAAAGAUUUUUGUGGGUGGAACCAAAACCCAGUCAGAAUCAUCAUUCCAUUCUGCAGGACACAUGGUUCCUCUCCAAGCAAUCAAAAUAUCCCUCCUUCCUAAUGCAACUUUGCCCUCAUCAGUGGCAACAGCAACAAACCCUAUCCAAUUUGAUGAUUUGAUCUUUUCAGUUUUACUUGGUACAUCUGAAGCUCCAUAGAUGUAUUUUGUGACUUCAUAUUUGAAUGGGUUGUUUUUGUCGAGUCCCACUCUUUUGAAGAAAUUCUUUUUGGAGUAUCGAUUUGUCCCUAAAUUCUUCGAUGCUAUUUCACUGUUGAAUGAAUCGCAGAUGGCUUGAGGCAUUUGGCCAUAGUGAAUAAGGUAUCGUCGGAGAUCGUAAUCCAAAGGGUCAAGUAAGCCUUCCCAGUUGUUUUUUCCAUUCAAAAUCUCCCAUCUUUCUGCUACGCUGUUGUCUCUGUUUUCGAUCCCUUUUUUCUUUUUGAAAAAAUUUCUGAUUUUGAUACUAACAGCUUCCAAUCCUUUGUUUAUGCAGCCCAUAGAUAUACUUCAAUAGAUAUGGAGUAAUUAAAAUUGCUACCACUUUUAAAGUUGUGUUAG